GACCCUGCCCCUGAAGUCCCGCGCACUCAGGACUAGUGAGUGUGUCUCUCUGCAGACCCAGGCCCGACCUGCCUUUGGCCCUGACCGCGCUGCUCCAGUGACAGAGUGAGGAUUGGAAGGUUAACCAGGCCUAGAGAGAAGGUUAAAGUUGAGAACAAGCCAGAUUCUGAUGUAGAUAGUAGUCAGCCGCAGGCAGUCACUACACCUGGG
Molecule: long non-coding RNA, 210 nt
Organism: Seriola dumerili (greater amberjack)
Lineage: Eukaryota; Metazoa; Chordata; Actinopteri; Carangiformes; Carangidae
Exons: 3
Source: RefSeq, a predicted model, not a curated record